GAUGAAGAAAGCAGCGAAAUGCGAUAAGUCAUGUGAAUUGCAGAAUUCCGUGAAUCAUCGAAUCUUUGAACGCACAUUGCGCCCCCUGGUAUUCCGGGGGGCAUGCCUGUCCGAGCGUCAUUGCAACCUUCAAGCGCGGCUUGUGUGUUGGGUCUCGUCCCCCGUGGACGGGCCCGAAAGGCAGUGGCGGCGUCCCGACAUGGUGCCCGAGCGUAUGGGAAUCCUCUUCCGCUCGAAUCGGCCCAUGCGGCGCUGGUCGUAACCAAAUUUUUUACCGGUUGACCUCGGAUCAGGUAGGGAUACCCGCUGAACUUAAGCAUAUCAAUAAGCGGAGGA
Molecule: unclassified non-coding RNA, 336 nt
Filed under: soil metagenome
Description: partial contains 5.8S ribosomal RNA, internal transcribed spacer 2, and large subunit ribosomal RNA
Rfam family: 5.8S ribosomal RNA (bases 1-120)
Source: RNAcentral